Molecule: transfer-messenger RNA, 421 nt
Filed under: Candidatus Daviesbacteria bacterium
Lineage: Bacteria; Candidatus Daviesiibacteriota
Rfam family: transfer-messenger RNA
About the family: Bacterial tmRNA, also known as 10Sa RNA or SsrA, is named for its dual tRNA and mRNA-like properties. Its role is to liberate the mRNA from a stalled ribosome.
Source: RNAcentral
GGGGAUGUAUUGUCUCGACAGGAUUGCUCUUUAAAAACUGCAAGCUGAUAAGGAAACAUUAAUCAUUAAAUAUUGUUUCAAAACACAAACGGCAAAGAUAUUGCCCGUUACCUGAAGCAGGCAGCUGCUAAGAUCGCAGGAGCUAAUCCAUUCGUGGGUCCGCAACUCGCUUUCCAACCAGCUUACAGCUAAAGGUUGCUUUAGAAAAUGUUCUCCUUCUGACGGAACACUAAAGUACGUACAAAGUCAGGAUGCUGCUGGUAAGGUGUUGGUUGAUCCUUGCUAGUAAAAGACAAUUCAAUCAUUCAUUAGUUUUCCUGCUAAUUGGUUACAACUAUUGAAUAAAAAUUAAUUAGCUAAGCUUGUAGAGGUUUAAAAAGUUACAAUUUUGGACUCGGCUUCACCGCCGACAUCUCCACCA